Molecule: ribosomal RNA, 1379 nt
Filed under: uncultured bacterium
Lineage: Bacteria
Description: bacterial SSU rRNA
Rfam family: Bacterial small subunit ribosomal RNA
Source: RNAcentral
CCUGGCUCAGUAUGAGCGCUAGCUACAGGCUUAACACAUGCAAGUCGAGGGGCAGCAUGGUCUUAGCUUGCUAAGGCCGAUGGCGACCGGCGCACGGGUGAGUAACACGUAUCCAACCUGCCGUCUACUCUUGGACAGCCUUCUGAAAGGAAGAUUAAUACAAGAUGGCAUCAUGAGUCCGCAUGUUCACAUGAUUAAAGGUAUUCCGGUAGACGAUGGGGAUGCGUUCCAUUAGAUAGUAGGCGGGGUAACGGCCCACCUAGUCUUCGAUGGAUAGGGGUUCUGAGAGGAAGGUCCCCCACAUUGGAACUGAGACACGGUCCAAACUCCUACGGGAGGCAGCAGUGAGGAAUAUUGGUCAAUGGGCGAGAGCCUGAACCAGCCAAGUAGCGUGAAGGAUGACUGCCCUAUGGGUUGUAAACUUCUUUUAUAAAGGAAUAAAGUCGGGUAUGGAUACCCGUUUGCAUGUACUUUAUGAAUAAGGAUCGGCUAACUCCGUGCCAGCAGCCGCGGUAAUACGGAGGAUCCGAGCGUUAUCCGGAUUUAUUGGGUUUAAAGGGAGCGUAGAUGGAUGUUUAAGUCAGUUGUGAAAGUUUGCGGCUCAACCGUAAAAUUGCAGUUGAUACUGGAUAUCUUGAGUGCAGUUGAGGCAGGCGGAAUUCGUGGUGUAGCGGUGAAAUGCUUAGAUAUCACGAAGAACUCCGAUUGCGAAGGCAGCCUGCUAAGCUGCAACUGACAUUGAGGCUCGAAAGUGUGGGUAUCAAACAGGAUUAGAUACCCUGGUAGUCCACACGGUAAACGAUGAAUACUCGCUGUUUGCGAUAUACGGCAAGCGGCCAAGCGAAAGCGUUAAGUAUUCCACCUGGGGAGUACGCCGGCAACGGUGAAACUCAAAGGAAUUGACGGGGGCCCGCACAAGCGGAGGAACAUGUGGUUUAAUUCGAUGAUACGCGAGGAACCUUACCCGGGCUUAAAUUGCAGAUGAAUUACGGUGAAAGCCGUAAGCCGCAAGGCAUCUGUGAAGGUGCUGCAUGGUUGUCGUCAGCUCGUGCCGUGAGGUGUCGGCUUAAGUGCCAUAACGAGCGCAACCCUUGUUGUCAGUUACUAACAGGUUCCGCUGAGGACUCUGACAAGACUGCCAUCGUAAGAUGUGAGGAAGGUGGGGAUGACGUCAAAUCAGCACGGCCCUUACGUCCGGGGCUACACACGUGUUACAAUGGGGGGUACAGAGGGCCGCUACCACGCGAGUGGAUGCCAAUCCCCAAAACCUCUCUCAGUUCGGACUGGAGUCUGCAACCCGACUCCACGAAGCUGGAUUCGCUAGUAAUCGCGCAUCAGCCACGGCGCGGUGAAUACGUUCCCGGGCCUUGUACACACCG